Molecule: transfer-messenger RNA, 383 nt
Filed under: Erysipelotrichaceae
Lineage: Bacteria; Bacillati; Bacillota; Erysipelotrichia; Erysipelotrichales
Also listed under: 1 other name
Description: RUG11795 sp017941505 Standard tmRNA
Rfam family: transfer-messenger RNA
About the family: Bacterial tmRNA, also known as 10Sa RNA or SsrA, is named for its dual tRNA and mRNA-like properties. Its role is to liberate the mRNA from a stalled ribosome.
Source: RNAcentral
GGGGGUGUUUUUGGUAUUCGAUGAGUAAACGUUUGGAUUGAGCCACAGCCGCGAAGGAACGCGUUAUAACCAAAUUAAAUUAAACGCUAAAACAAAUUUCGCUAACAUCUUUGGUGCAAACCAGAGCUUAGCUUUUGCUGCUUAAUUUUAGUCUAAGUUGACUUGCAGCCUGCCCGUUAGAUUUCGCUUUCUUAUCUGAUGGGAUGUGUCUCGAAAAGAAGCUAGAAGUUAUGCCUGAUCAGCCUCUGUUUUCGAACCACCGUUGAUCAACCCAUAUGUGAUCGUGUCCAUCCGAUGCAUAUGGUGAUUUGAUGGAAUAAGCUGUAAACGCUCUCUCGUGGGACUUUACUUAGACAGGAGUUCGACCCUCCUCACCUCCACCA